CCCUUAGAUGUUCUGGGCUGCACGCGCGCUACACUGGUGCACUCAACAAGUUUACAACCUUGAUCGAUAGGUCUGGGUAAUCUUUUGAAUAUGCACCGUGCUAGGGAUAGAUUAUUGCAAUUAUUAAUCUUGAACAAGGAAUUCCUAGUAAAUGCAAGUCAUCAGCUUGCGUUGAUUACGUCCCUGCCCUUUGUACACACCGCCCGUCGCACCUACUGAUUGGAUGGUCCGGUGAAGCCUCGGGAUUGUGGUUCUUGCCGCUUUAUUGUGGCGUGACCGCGAGAACUUGUCUAAACCUUAUCAUCUAGAGGAAGGUGAAGUCGUANCA
RNAcentral lists this ribosomal RNA (328 nucleotides) under uncultured eukaryote. RNAcentral's name for it is "partial 18S ribosomal RNA". It matches the Rfam family "Eukaryotic small subunit ribosomal RNA", at positions 1470 to 1796 of the family's 1831-position model. The record is from RNAcentral.